UACGGAGGGUGCAAGCGUUGUUCGGAAUUAUUGGGCGUAAAGCGCGUGUAGGCGGUAGGGUAAGUCAGAUGUGAAAGCCCUGGGCUCAACCCAGGAAGUGCAUUUGAAACUGCUCUGCUAGAGUGGGGGAGAGGAGAGUGGAAUUCCUGGUGUAGAGGUGAAAUUCGUAGAUAUCAGGAGGAACACCGGUGGCGAAGGCGGCUUUCUGGCCCUUCACUGACGCUGAGACGCGAGAGCGUGGGGAGCAAACAGG
This 253-nucleotide ribosomal RNA is filed under the name uncultured prokaryote. RNAcentral's name for it is "partial 16S ribosomal RNA". It matches the Rfam family "Bacterial small subunit ribosomal RNA", at positions 524 to 776 of the family's 1533-position model. The record is from RNAcentral.